GUAAUUACACUUGCAUUCAAACGGUUGUCUUGUGCCUAACCUUCUCUGAUGCUACAUUGUGCGGAUUGGAUAUCAUCCUUUGAUUUUCUAUAUCUUAAAUUUUAUGACAAGCAGUGGGUUUCUUUUGUGAGAUUACAUUUUUCUUGUGUUUGAUAUAUUUCACACAACUUACUUCAUGUGAAAUAUAUGCUUCACAUGCUUAUCUUUCUCUCUUAGUAACUAAUGAUUUUCUUUUGAACUCAUGUUCUUCUCGGCCAUUGAGUUAAUUCUUCAUUAUUUCUUUUGGGAAGAAACUUUAAUUUCACAUACUUAUGUUCCAGCAUAAUUUCUUCGGUCUAAAGCAGUUUGGUCGUCCGGUAGAGUCAGACUGCAACUUUGCAUAACGAUUUGUGCGGUCGGUGGUUGCAGAUAUUACUUGUGAAGCGCAUCGAGGACGUGCUGGAGCAAGCAUUUGAAGGUGGAUGUCCCUGGAAACCACAGUCCAAGCUAUAGCAUUGUGAAGCAGCAGUUGAAGAUGAUGGAUCCGUCUCUUCUCUCCCAUCCCAUCCUCCCCCCCGCCCCCACUACGGAGCUGCAGUCUCAGACCUUCACUUGCGAUUCCUAAUGCUUGUGUAGCUUGGACCCUUUGUCUCCUCGGGGCCCCACGAAACUCAAAAUCCCCCUUGGGGAUCCAACAAGCAAUCAAAAAUUAAUUAUCCGUCCUUUCUGUAUUGCUGUGUCAUGUCCAAGCCACCUACUUCAAACUCACCUGUAAAUGUCUUUAUUGGGGACAGGGACGAUAGCUUUCACGGUUCUUUUAUACUAGGGGCUCUUUUAUUAUUAUUAUUAUUAUUAUUAUUAUUAUUAUAUAUAUAUAUAUAUAUAUAAGCUUAUUAAUGUGUUUUACUAAUAUAUUAGUGUAAAUUAGAAGUUUUAUAUGGAUACAAUGAAAUAUUUUCGAUUUAUUUUUAUAAAAAAAUAAAAAAAAUUAUAAUUUAAGAGAAUAAAUAAGAAAAUCUGACUGACUAUCGACGUGCAGCUGAAAAUAUCUCCUGUGUUCUUCCAUGGCUGUGCCUACCACGUACGUGUUAUAGCAGCGCGGUGGCUAAUCUUCGUCUUCGUGAAGAUAGAGAGAGCUACUCCAAGGGAAGAUCGACUCCCAAGCCAUCACGAUUCCCACACGCUUCCUUCUCCUCCUGCCUUUGCUCUCCCUUGCUUACACACCACACUCGGAACAGGUCACCUACUUCUUCCCGUAGGCAACCUUACGGCGAGAGGACGCACUUGUCCAUCCAAAUCCCUCGGAAGUUUAAGUACGAGGGAAACAGAGUGCAAAGGCCAUUUCGUUUCAGCUCUGCUCCAACUCUUCCUACUACUCUGUGUUGUCAUGGCUUUCGUAGCUGCUAUGCUUCCGCUGCCUGUUCAGCGAGGAAGUCCCUUGUUCGUCUUCAGCAGGCGGAGAAGAGGAAGUCUCUCCAUGGUCUCCAUGGUUCCGGUACGUUUUGAGAUCAUCAAGAUACGAAGCAUACAUUACUUUUGUUCGUUCGAUCGAUCGAUCGAUCUCAUGUGCUGCAUGCUGGUACUUGCGCUUAGGCUGCGAGGCUGUUUGGGCCGGCCAUAUUCGAGGCUUCCAAGCUGAAGGUGCUCUUCUUGGGGGUGGACAAGGCGAAGCACCCCGGGAAGCUCCCCAGGGCCUACACUCUCACCCACAGCGAUCUCACCUCCAAGCUCACCCUCGCCAUCUCCCACACCAUCAACCGCGCUCAGGUACCAUCGUCAAGCUUUACGUAACGUGAACGGCUCUGACGAAGGGCACGCUUAUCUCCCCUGUUCCUGAUCUCGAGCAGCUGCAGGGCUGGUGCAACCGGCUGCAGAGGGACGAGGUGGUGGCCGAGUGGAACAAGGUCCAAGGAAAGAUGUCCCUCCACGUCCAUUGCCACAUCAGUGGCGGCCAUUUCCUCCUCGACCUCGUCGCCAGCCUCCGUUACUACAUCUUCUGCGAUGAACUCCCAGUGGUAUGUAUGCAUACGCACGCAUCCGCUCAUUCAUGCUAAUUCCUCCGACGUCUCUGACGACGGAAUGGCGGUGGCAAGGUACUGAAGGCGUUCGUUCAUGGCGACGAGGCGCUGUUCAACGACUACACGGAGCUGGAGGAGGCAAUGGUGUGGGUCUACUUCCACUCCAACCUCCCCGAGUUCAACCGGGUGGAGUGCUGGGGGCCGCUCCGAGACGCGGCCUCGGCCGGGAGGAGCAAGGCCGGGGAGGCACAGCCGCCGUUCCCGACAGACCGGCCGCGACGGUGCAAGGCGGAAUGCGACUGCUGCUUUCCUCUGCAGAGUUUGAUCCCCUGGCCGCAUGACUUCCAAGAGGAACGCCGGGAAUCUGCCGGCCGACCGCAGCAGUAACAAGGCAAGGUUGGCUCGUGCAGAACGCUUGUCAACGGAGUGCAAAUUGCGUCUCUUUGGAUGGGACGAAACCUAUUCAUUUAUCGCGUUUCAUUCAUCUUUCUUAUUUCGAGUUCUCUACUACAUGUUGGAAAAGAUUAUUAUAGUAAAAUAUAUUUUUUUUCAUUCUCUAUGGGUAUCAAAAUAUGUUUCUCAUUAAAAUAUCAACUUAUUAUUAAAAAUAAAUAUUAAUUAGAAUAACGUAAAUAAUAGAAUAAUAAAUCAAUCACAAAAUGAGACACCAAAUUUUUACGUGAAAAAUCCAACAAAGAAAAACUACGUGAUCAUAGUUUAUUUCAAACUUUUACUAUCAUCGAUAAUGAUAAUUGAUUUAUAAUAAGUCUUCUUUAGAAAAACUAGAGGAUCAUAAUAAUAACAAGAAUACAGAUCUUGACUCAACAAUAACAUAUCAUCAUCAUCGUAAAUGAAUUUGAUGAUAGAAAAAAUUUAAGUCUCACUAAGUAGAUAUGGUAAAAAGAUAUUUCAGAGAGGAUAAACUGUAGAUCGGUACCAUUAAGAUUAUAGAACUUGUUUCAAGGAUUCUUUACAUAAAAUUUGGACCAAAAUCGAUAAAAUUUACUCCUCCGUUCUCACGCACAUCUCCACUUCCUUUUUUUAUUUUAAUAAAUCAAAUUUAAACUCAAUAUCCAAAUCAAUGAAUCCAAUCUUACGUAUGGACUGAAUUCAACUAAACUCAAUAUGGAUACGACGAUAAUGAUAGCGACAAUCAAUAUGAUUAUUUUAAACUACCAUAUUCUAAAAGACCCAAAAGGAAUUAUCAAGUCAUGACCCUCUUUUAACUAAGCUAAUGAGAGAAGAAAACUACAAAUAAACGUUGAUAGAAUAUAUGGAAGAUAAGAGUCAACAUGAGAAUGACAGAAAAACACACAAAGAAAGAAGAUACAACCUAUUAGUUUAACGAGUCAUGCAUAAGUGACGAGACAAUCCAUAAGAGUUUUCAAACAAAGAAUUUGAUUCCGAGAGCUAUAGUAAGCUUCCAUGUCACCGUCCUUACUCUUGUCAAGUCUUUGUAUACUAGCAAGUCAUUUAUUAUCUUUGGGGGAAAGUGGAAUGUAGAUAGCUUUCAUCAAAAUCACAAGAUUUAGGUGAAAGAUAAAUCAUUUUCCGAGGGAUACUAAAUAUUUAUAAGCUGAUAAGGUAUAUUUUGGAUCCAAGAUACGUCACAAUCGAUGUCACACGUCAGGUAAGAAUUCGUACUAAAGCGUUGUUUGACCCGCGUACUACCAUGCCAACCCGAGAAUCCGUACCGAGUCAGCAAGGGGAACACCCCCACACGCCUAGUCAGAAUCCGUAUAGAGAUGCUGUUCGACAUGUCCUGUCCUUGGAACCUGAGGCGGUGCCGUCUGACGCCGCUCCAUGCGUCCCGAGAUGGCGACCGAUCAGAAGUGCCAUCUCAACUCUUGAAAAUCAUGGGCCACGCGGAACUCGUGUGCAACCGACCCUCGUACAAUAAUAUAAAAGCCCAUGGCCGACAUCCGGCCGGGGGGAGCCAAAGUUGGGAACUACCAGACAAAGGCCAUUUUUGCAAGCAAGCGAUCACCCCCGAGCCAUGAGUGCCUCGACCUGGGAAUUGCCAUCUAGUGAAUGAAGGCGAGCUGCCAACCAACUCGGGAAUAGAGAGAUGCUACUCGACGCAGACGACGCCCGAACCGAGAAACACUGAUCAACACCCUGUCGUGAGGGCCCGGCCUACCUCGGCGUCCAACUCAACCGAUAGAGAACUCCCGACGUCGACCUGUGGACCGAGCCGUGCUGACUCAUCAGCCACGUCACAUUUACUCACUAACAUAAGACAUCCUAUCGUAAGUAGCUUUCUUAAGCCUAUCCGAAGAGAUCACGAUAACAAGAUAAUAUUUUUUUUCUAGGAUCAAGAAGAAGAAGAAUGAUAGAUAUAUUUAUUUAGUGAGAAUAAGGUUAAUCCAAAAUCUUUAUCCUUGUUAAGGAUUAUAAUGAGCCUUUUGACUAGGAUAAAAUGCCUACACGUAUUCCAACACUUCAGAUUAGUUAUCUUUGGAUGAUCUUUAUUUUGAGAAUAUUUAUUUAUGAGGAUAGAUCUCGGAGCUUAGGAGAGAAGAUUUGUUUAGUAGUAGUUGUAGUAGUAACAUGUCCUUCAUCAUAUCUAUCAUAUAUAUCUAUAAGUUGCCAACCUGGCUGAUACUAUUUCUACAGGGAAAGCAUAUGCUUCACAUGCCAUUAAUUUGAGCAGCUUUGAUGACAAGAAUCUCUACCGAUUUCCCCAUCCAUUCAAUCUGGAAGUGCAUCAUUAAUAUUUGAGAUCCGAACUUGGAAAUCAUUCAAUAAAUACGAACAUUAAUUUCUUACGGCCACAUUUUAUUACAGAUUCGAAGGACCACAUUUUCUUCAUAAUUGAUUGAUAAUUCUAAUACCCUUCCCGAUGUCAUGCCAUAUUACUCGCAUGAGGGUCAUGCAUUAAAGUUAUUACUUCACCGACACAUAUCACAUUGUAAUGCAAUAUACUAUAAGCAAUCAGAUUUAUUUUUUAUAUUUUAUUUUGAAACCACAUACGUAAAUAAAAAAUAAUUGGUAUUCCUUGUCAUGUUUUUUUUUUUUAUGUUCAUAUGUUUCGAAAAGAUAAAACCGUAUGGAUACGCUCAUCGUUCAAAACAGAUAAUUCUUUGCGAACCUACGGGCCACACUAAUAAUCAUCGACCAAAUUGUCCCUUAUCACUAUUCAUUAAAUUUUAAAAAUAAAAUAAUUAUUUUUAUUUGAUAAUAAAAAUGAUAUAUAUUUUUUGUUUAUAGAGGUGAUGAUACUUUUGUGAUAAGAAUGAUAUCUGUCGACAGUCGGAAGCUUUCCAACUUUGCAAUCAGUCAACCGCGACUUAACACCAAACACAAAAAAGCAAAACGCAAAAAGGAAAAGAUAAAGAUAUGAUCGAAAUUGAGAAAAAGGUCGAAAAGACGAAGAAGUGGGACCCACCGUCGUGGCCUGCCGUGGACCGACUCGGAAACCCAAAACCGAGGAAAGCGAGGGGAGUCGUCGGACCUGUGUCUGGGUACGUCGAACGGGUGCGUCGUGUCGGGGUGUCUCGAUCGCCGAUGGAUUUUUGUGGGUUUUGAUCGGCUGCGGAGAAAUGGCGGCAGGUGUUUUCCAUUAAGAAAUUAGAAACCCACCGUCGUCACCCGAACAUUCGCGUGGGACCCAUGCGGGACCCUUCUUAGCCCGCCAAUCGUCGUACGGGGAGCCGCAUUGCAGCUGGUCCAACCCGCACCGUCCUCGCGCCUUCCCCCUGCGCGCUUAAAAUAACAGGUCAGAUCCGAGUGCGGUGUUCGCGCGUCUUCAAAAUAACCGACGCGGUACGGUGCACAUGAUUGUUCGAGGAUCCCCUGUCCUGUCCGUAUCAGGCAACGCAGAUCUCGUUCCUGUUUCCUGUUGCGUCGGAGACGGGGGAUGCCCGGGGCCGGCGCGUCCGAUAUCCACGUCCCGAAAACCUAUUGCAUUCCCGUCGAGGCGCCCGAGCGCGCCUGUCGCGCACGAGCAGGAAACGCGGAGAUCGCCUCCUCACGAUCUCGGUGGGCCCCACGAAGAAAAACGGAUCAGACGUCGAACCGGUGUUCCCUGCCGCGUCGGGGUCAGGUGAUCCUUAUUAGUUUCCAUUUUCCCCGCCUUGCCUCUUUCCCACCUCUCGUUUUAUUUUGGUGGAGGUCGAUGUCGCGACCUUGUCACCCCCACCCCACCCCAU
RNAcentral lists this long non-coding RNA (6148 nucleotides) under Musa acuminata (dwarf banana). Its description in RNAcentral is "long non-coding RNA (MACU_LNC000141)". The record is from RNAcentral. Lineage: Eukaryota; Viridiplantae; Streptophyta; Magnoliopsida; Zingiberales; Musaceae.